Molecule: long non-coding RNA, 7255 nt
Filed under: Arabidopsis lyrata
Lineage: Eukaryota; Viridiplantae; Streptophyta; Magnoliopsida; Brassicales; Brassicaceae
Description: long non-coding RNA (ALYR_LNC001107)
Source: RNAcentral
AGGUAAUGUCCUAUAAAAACUGUAUUUUGUCAUGUGUAAUUAGUGAAAUUGAACAAAACUUAGAAUAAUUGGAAUUGGGAGUUAUAGGUGUGGCCACCAAUUGGAAAGAAGAAGUUUGAGACUCUAUCUUACCUCCCUGACCUUACUGACGUCGAAUUGGCUAAGGAAGUUGACUACCUUCUCCGCAACAAGUGGAUUCCUUGUGUUGAAUUCGAGUUAGAGGUAAUAAACACUGGACCUUUCGUUUGUCUCUAAUCAUUAUAUAUUAUUUUCUUACAUAGCUAAAAACCAAAGUCAAUAAGCUUAUUUUCGUUUGUCUCUAAUCAUUGUUCAUUGAAUGGAUUUCGUAUUCAUUUAUAGCAUGGAUUUGUGUACCGUGAGCAUGGAAACACACCUGGAUACUACGAUGGACGGUACUGGACAAUGUGGAAGCUUCCAUUGUUCGGAUGCACCGACUCCGCUCAAGUGUUGAAGGAAGUGCAAGAGUGCAAGAAGGAGUACCCUAACGCCUUCAUUAGGAUCAUCGGAUUUGACAACAACCGUCAAGUCCAGUGCAUCAGUUUCAUUGCCUACAAGCCCCCAAGCUUCACUGAUUCUUAAUUAAAUCCUUUCUGGAAUAUUCAAUGUUGACUAUCCGGAACAAUUUUGUAUGGUCAAUGUAAAUUUAAGUAACUAUUAUCUAGCCAACUUAAACGUUGAGCAAUUGUUUUGCGAAAAGUGAAAAAGUUGAAGGUUUAUUUUCUAUCAUUUCCUCUAUAAUUAUAUCUAUUCAUAUCAUUUCAUUUUUGAUCUUAUCACUUUGAACUCUUUCAUCUUCGAUUUAGCUCUUUUAAGCAACAUUUUAUUUCCUUUACAUUUCCCUCCUAAUUUUUGCUUUUGAUUCUCUAGACUAACCUAUAAUAGAAGAGAGACCUUUUUAGAUACCUUUUUGGAAAAACUUUGCACAUGAAAUCAUAACAAAGAUGCCUCAAUAAAUCAAAUCUCGAAAGGGCCAGUACCUUGUGACUUAGAUGGAUGGGCUAGGACGAUCUCGCUUUCGAAAAAAAGAUUUAUUUGAUUUUGCUGUGGGUGGAGCAAUGUUGACUACCUCCGCACUAUUUUCUUGAACGGUUUUGGCUAUUUUGUACCUUGUACGCGCUUCUGCUCACGGGAAAUUUGUGAGCUUUAAGUUGGUAUUGUGGAUCCAUGACCAUAGCUUCUUCCUGUGGCCUUAGGGAGAGUUCUUGCCUCGGUUCCACACCGUCCAUUGAAGUGUGCUAUGAAAAUUCCCCACAAUCUGUCAUGUCUUCCAUGCUUAAGUUGACAUGGUGGAAAUCAUCUUGAGGUGCCACAUUUUAAGUGGGCCGUACGUGCAAUGGUGUGGUGCUCCGAAAGGAACGGUAGCAUGGGUUCCUAUAGCAUUGGAUCGUUUUCUAAACAAUAUGCAUUAUGUGUUUAUAAAUUUUAGUAAUUGUACAUACAUGUCCCAGUUUAAAAACAGAUUAACAUACAUUAUAAUUUUAAGGGCUGCCUAUAGCGUUACACCUAUACUAUAGCGUUUCAACUCCUAUCCACCUGUACUUUCGACCUCUGCCCAAUUCACCUUAUACUUGUUUUAAACUUCCUAAUUCCACCUAAACUAUUAAAUUCUCCAUAAUUAACCAAAAUCAAGAACUCUCUAUAAUUGCGAUUAAAAAUCGUUCAAAUCGCGUUUACUGUAGGCCAACCCGAGUCAGAUCCGACCAGCUUCGAAGACUUCUUUCACCAUAAGGGUUUGACUCGUGUUCAUUUGUUUUGUCGGGUCAACCUCGGAUUAAUAUAAACACAUAUUUUUUUACUGCAAUUUGAACUAUUUUUAAUCGUAAUUAUAGAGAGUUGGGCAGAUGUCGAAAGUACAUGUGGAUAGGAGUUGAAACGAUAUAUAUAGUAUAGUUGUAACGCUAUAGGCAGCCCUAAUUUUAAUAAGAAUGAUAUAAACUCAACUAAACUUCCUCUUCUUAGUUUGAAACUUUGCAUGACCAUUAACUCUCUUAUACUGCAUAAGACAUAAUUAGUGACAUAUUUUUUUCUUUCUAUUAUCAAUAUUUUCGUUAGCAUGUACUCGUUGUAAGAUGAAUAGAGAAAUAAUUGAAUUAUGAAAUAACGAAAUCAAUGUAUAUAUAUAUAAAACAAAAACAAUUUUACGCUGAACAAUUUUUUUUUAAAAAAAGGCAAAAAAAUUGCUUGUUUCAUAUUAUAGGAUGUUUUGGACCUUUUUUUUUGUUUCACAAUAUAUAAUGCUUUGAAGAAAAAAUACAAGUUUCUAUGUAAAACAUUAAAUUUAAUAGAUUAUUGACUAUUUACAUUAUGCAGUAAAUUAUAUCACUGAUUAAAUUAUUUUUAAUAGAUAUUAAUUUUUGUUUUAAUGUUAAAAACUCAAGAUUAGUUAAUUUCUUAAACUUUGUGCUUUCAUCUUUUUUUUUAUCUUUUUUUUUUGUCAUCCGAAAUUAAUUAUACCUCAAAAGAGAGAGUAUUAUUUGAAACAAAGAGAGUAUUAUUUAGCAGAUAAAUGACUUUUAUCUGAUUUAAUUAUAAUUUUAAAAUGUGCGGGAUGAAUUAAAAGAUCAUUUAUCAUUUUUCACGUUUUGUUUUUUUCCAGUUAGGUUUUUGUGAAUGGUUUUUACUCAGCGUAAUCAUGUUUUAAGAACAAGAACGUGAGAAAGUUAACAAAAUACCGUUGCAAGACUUUAUUUUUGUUUUACACAAAAUGUAGUUUUAUAUUUUCAAAGUAGUUUUUUUUAAUAGAAUUUACUUAUAUUCUUUUUAGUUAAGAUAAUCAAAUGGGAAAAUAAAAAUAUUAAUGUGUUAAUACAAGAUAAUAGAAAUUUAAUCAUUUUAAUAUAUAUGUAAAAAGUAUUCAACCGAUAUUUACAAUUAGACAGAACUAAGAAGUAUUAAAUUUCUCACCUCACCUCCCAAAAGAAAGGAGCCAAAAGCAACCGAUCAAGUGGAGACCAGUACUAGCCAUACACAUUCACUCGUUCCCUUACAAGAGAAAGAUAAGAUUAUGGAGUUUUCUGCCACUUGGUCUUAUCCUAGUGGUCCGAAUUGAUAAGGGUUUCAACACCUUUCCUUAAUCCUGUGGCAAUUAACGACGUUAUCAUGAAUUAUGGCCACUUUGAUCAUUAGGGCUUUUUGCCUUGCAGUUCUCACUAUAUAAAGAUGACCAAAUCAAUCGACAAACAAGUAAAAGAAACAACAAGAAGUAGUGAUGGCUUCAUCUAUGCUCUCCUCUGCCGCUAUGGUUACCUCCCCAGCUCAAGCCACCAUGGUCGCUCCAUUCACCGGCUUGAAGUCAUCCGCUGCUUUCCCGGUCACCCGCAAGGCCAACAACGACAUUACUUCUAUCUCAAGCAACGGCGGAAGAGUUAGCUGCAUGAAGGUAAUGUCCUAUAAAAACUGUAUUUUGUCAUGUGUAAUUAGUGAAAUUGAACAAAACUUAGAAUAAUUGGAAUUGGGAGUUAUAGGUGUGGCCACCAAUUGGAAAGAAGAAGUUUGAGACUCUAUCUUACCUCCCUGACCUUACUGACGUCGAAUUGGCUAAGGAAGUUGACUACCUUCUCCGCAACAAGUGGAUUCCUUGUGUUGAAUUCGAGUUAGAGGUACUAAACACCGAACUUUUCCUUUGUCUCUAAUCAUCCUUUAUUAUUUCUGUUCAUUGGUAGAAACAUAAGUCAAUAACCGGAUUUUAAAACCCGAAAUAGACUAUAACCGUGUGACUCCUCGACUAUCAAUGGUAUUGAAUGGUUUUGUCAUCUGUUUAUAGCACGGAUUUGUGUACCGUGAGCACGGAAACACUCCCGGAUACUACGAUGGACGGUACUGGACAAUGUGGAAGCUUCCAUUGUUCGGAUGCACCGAUUCUGCUCAAGUGUUGAAGGAAGUGCAAGAAUGCAAGAAGGAGUACCCUAAUGCCUUCAUUAGGAUCAUCGGAUUCGACAACAACCGUCAAGUCCAAUGCAUCAGUUUCAUUGCCUACAAGCCCCCAAGCUUCACCGAUGCUUAAUUCCCUUUCUGGAAUGUUCAACGUUGACUAGUAUUUCGGAAUCCAAUUCUAUGUGGUCAAUGCAAAUUUAAGAAAUUAAUUAGCCGACUUAAAAGUUGAGGAAUUAUUGUGUGAAAGUGAAAAAUUUGAAGGUUUUUUCUAUCAAUUUCCUUAUAAUUAUAUUUACUCAUUUGAUUUCAUUUUUUUUCUUCUAGCUCUUUGAGCUCUAUUUUUCGUUUAGCUCCUUUUGACAACAUUCCGGUUCAUUUAAAUUCUCCUCAUUAUUCUUGCUUUUGAGAAAUUGGCUACAUUGUUUCGAGAAAUUUUGCACAUGAAAGCAUAACAAAGAUGCCUCAAUUUAUCAAACCUCGAUGAUUUAGAACAAAAGAUUAUUUAAGGGGGUGUAACCUUUUAAGAUGAAAUAGCCAUUGGAGAUAGCAAAAGGUAGUAAAAGACGUAUACACUAUAAACAAAAUCCAAAUGUAUGCUUUUAAAAUUAUAAACAUGUAUUCCAAACGCCUAAGUGGAAUAUUCAGUUUAAUUCAAGUCCAAGAAAUGGCAUUAUAUAAAGCAAGGAUCGACAAAGACUGAAAUUUGUCUAGCAUGAAGUUACUAAAUUUUGGAAAUUGUGUUCACGUUAAAAGCUGAAACUUAACAGUUAUUUAUAAGGAAAAGCAGUUAAUGUUCCCAAAAAGUUCUAAAUGAAACUAGAAACCAAAUGAUAAAGAAAACGUAGCAUCUACAUGUUUGGUUUUAGUUUUUUUUUUUUUGACAAAAAUAUUCAAAUGUUUUUAGAUUCUUCUAUGCAAACGAUAUAUAGAAAAUAUAUACAUGAUUCAAAUAUAAUACAAAUAAAAAUAAUUAUUGAAAUUACCGAACAUUUUUUUGCAUCUCCCUGAUUUACUUCCCACAUUUUCGUUUCAAAUAAAAUUCAAGAAAAAGAAAGACGACGAAAAAAAAUGACUUAAAAAGACAAGGGACAGAAGCUGGUAACUUAGAUGGAUGGGUUAGGACUAUCUCACUUUCGAAAAAUGUUUAUUUGGUUGAGGUGCGGAGUGGAGUGGAGCUUGUGAUUCUUUGCCCUAUAUGAGAGUUUUUUCGUGACCAAUUAUGGUGAUUGUGUACUUUGUAUACAUGUUUCUUCUCAUAUGGUUGAAAUGGGGGCAUUUGUGAGCUUUAAGGUGGCAGUCUUGAUCCACGACCAUAGCUUUACAUGACUUUAAGGUGAGUUCUUGCCUUGGUUCUACACCGUUGAUUGAAAUGAAUUAUGAAAAUUCCUCAUGAUCCGCCAUUUUUACAUGCUAAGUUUUUUUUUUUUGAAAAAUGCAUGCUUAAGUUGAAACGGUGGUUAUCAACUUGAGGUGCCAUAUUUGUGAUUAAGUGGGCCGUAAGUGCAACGGCGUGGUACUCAAAGAGGAACGGUGGGGUGGGUUUCACAUCGUGAUUGUGAUGUGAGUAUGUAUGUGACCAGAGUCCAGGGCCGGCUCAAAAUUAUUCGAGACCUUGUGCUGAUGUAUAAAAAUUGGUUUUUAAAUAAUAUAGUGAAAAUUUUGGACCCUCAAUCUUAGAGGAAAUUGAAAUUUUUUUUUGAGGACCCUGUGCUUUUGCUCCUCUAGCACACCCUUAGAGCUGGCACUGCCAGAGUCACAAGAUAAUCGUGAGCUGGUCUUACUUGUUGAUCGAGAGGCAGCAUUAACUCAUAUAGAAGAAACCAUGGACCUCCGACCUUGGGAGGUUUUCUUGGAAAUUCUUCCAUGAUGGAAGCUUACCGCAUGAGCAUGAUACAGGUAGAUGCAUGAUGGUUUCGGUUGUUUGCUCGAUCGCUUUCUACCACAAACAUAUCUUGCAUCUAAUUGUUGUUGCCUUGUUGGUUCUCAAAUAUUUACUCUCGAAACAGUAAGAUGUUGUUAGCCAUACGUAAAUCAGAAAUAAAAGUAUAGUUGGCUAAAACUGCAGUGAGUAUAGAAUUAACCGAUAUCAAUUUAUUCAAAUUUCCGUCUCUCUUUUCUUUUGUUGGCUAAUAUAUUAUCAUUUGAAGAUAAUAUAUAGUUUUUCCAAGAAAAGAAUAUUGACAAUUUUUUUGUGGUAAGUGAUUUUAAGAAUGACUCCAGAAUCGACAGGUUACCCAGACAAUAUUUAUCAUGGAUAAACCUAUCGAAAAAUCUUAAAAAUCAGUAUUAAUAAAACGGAAGUAGUAAUGAACUUCUAAGCUAUGCAUUACAAUACAUUUAUCUCAAUGUCGAAUUUAAAUAAUUUUCUUAGAACUCCUUUUUUAAUGCGACCUUAUUCACCAAAUCAAGUGAAGCCAAAUUAAAUCAUGCAUGGUAAAUAAAAUAUCCAAAAGCAUUAAAUUUAAGGUAAUGCGUCUGAUUUCUUUCCUCCCAAACGAAAGGAGCCAAAAGCAACCGAUCAAGUGGAAACCAAUAACCACACAUUCACUUCGUUUCCCCCACAAGAGAAGAUAAGAUAAUGGAGUUUUCUGCCACGUGGCAUUAUCCUAGUGGUCCGUACCGAUAAGGGUGUCAACACCUUUCCUUAAUCCUGUGGCAGUAAACGACGUUAUCAUGAAUUAUGGACCCUUUGAUCAUGAGGGGCUUUUUUCCUGUUGCGGUUCUCACUAUAUAAAGAUGACAAAACCAGUAGACAAACAAGUAAGUAAGAGAAAAGAGCAAAAGAAGAAGAGAAACAACAAGAAGUAGUAAUGGCUUCCUCUAUGCUCUCCUCGGCCGCUGUGGUUACCUCCCCGGCUCAAGCCACCAUGGUCGCUCCAUUCUCCGGCUUGAAGUCAUCCGCUGCUUUCCCGGUCACCCGCAAGGCCAACAACGACAUUACUUCCAUCGCAAGCAACGGGGGAAGAGUUAGCUGCAUGAAGGUAAAGUAAAGUCAUUAAUGAAAGAUGUCUUUUGUCAUGGCAAUUAGUGUAAUUGAACAAAACAUAGAAUAAUUGGAAUUGGAUUCGGGAAUUAUAGGUAUGGCCACCAAUCGGAAAGAAGAAGUUUGAGACUUUAUCUUACCUCCCUGACCUUACUGACGUCGAAUUGGCUAAGGAAGUUGACUACCUUCUCCGCAACAAGUGGAUUCCUUGUGUUGAAUUCGAGUUAGAGGUAAUAAACACUGAACCUUUCCUUUGUCUCUAAUCAUUAUAUAUUAUUUUCUUACAUAGCUAAAAACCAAAGUCAAUAAGCUUAUUUUCUACACCAAAGUUGAGGCUAUCAUUGUCCAUCGAAUGGUUUUCUUAUGUGUUUAUAGCAC